RNAcentral lists this transfer RNA (73 nucleotides) under Onchocerca ochengi. It matches the Rfam family "tRNA". From Rfam's summary of the family: Transfer RNA (tRNA) molecules are approximately 80 nucleotides in length. Their secondary structure includes four short double-helical elements and three loops (D, anti-codon, and T loops). Further hydrogen bonds mediate the characteristic L-shaped molecular structure. tRNAs have two regions of fundamental functional importance: the anti-codon, which is responsible for specific mRNA codon recognition, and the 3' end, to which the tRNAs corresponding amino acid is attached (by aminoacyl-tRNA synthetases). tRNAs cope with the degeneracy of the genetic code in two manners: having more than one tRNA (with a specific anti-codon) for a particular amino acid; and 'wobble' base-pairing, i.e. permitting non-standard base-pairing at the 3rd anti-codon position. The record is from Rfam by way of RNAcentral. Lineage: Eukaryota; Metazoa; Nematoda; Chromadorea; Rhabditida; Onchocercidae.
GACCCUCUGGCCUAAUGGAUAAGACGUCGCCCUCCGGAGGCGAAGACUGCUGGUUCGAGUCCUCUCAGGGUCG